Molecule: ribosomal RNA, 1155 nt
Filed under: Bacillus pumilus
Lineage: Bacteria; Bacillati; Bacillota; Bacilli; Caryophanales; Bacillaceae
Description: bacterial SSU rRNA
Rfam family: Bacterial small subunit ribosomal RNA
Source: RNAcentral
UGAGACCCGGCCCAGAUUCUUCGGGAGGCAGCAGUAGGGAUCUUCCGCAAUGGACGAAAGUCUGACGGAGCAACGCCGCGUGAGUGAUGAAGGUUUUCGGAUCGUAAAGCUCUGUUGUUAGGGAAGAACAAGUGCGAGAGUAACUGCUCGCACCUUGACGGUACCUAACCAGAAAGCCACGGCUAACUACGUGCCAGCAGCCGCGGUAAUACGUAGGUGGCAAGCGUUGUCCGGAAUUAUUGGGCGUAAAGGGCUCGCAGGCGGUUUCUUAAGUCUGAUGUGAAAGCCCCCGGCUCAACCGGGGAGGGUCAUUGGAAACUGGGAAACUUGAGUGCAGAAGAGGAGAGUGGAAUUCCACGUGUAGCGGUGAAAUGCGUAGAGAUGUGGAGGAACACCAGUGGCGAAGGCGACUCUCUGGUCUGUAACUGACGCUGAGGAGCGAAAGCGUGGGGAGCGAACAGGAUUAGAUACCCUGGUAGUCCACGCCGUAAACGAUGAGUGCUAAGUGUUAGGGGGUUUCCGCCCCUUAGUGCUGCAGCUAACGCAUUAAGCACUCCGCCUGGGGAGUACGGUCGCAAGACUGAAACUCAAAGGAAUUGACGGGGGCCCGCACAAGCGGUGGAGCAUGUGGUUUAAUUCGAAGCAACGCGAAGAACCUUACCAGGUCUUGACAUCCUCUGACAACCCUAGAGAUAGGGCUUUCCCUUCGGGGACAGAGUGACAGGUGGUGCAUGGUUGUCGUCAGCUCGUGUCGUGAGAUGUUGGGUUAAGUCCCGCAACGAGCGCAACCCUUGAUCUUAGUUGCCAGCAUUCAGUUGGGCACUCUAAGGUGACUGCCGGUGACAAACCGGAGGAAGGUGGGGAUGACGUCAAAUCAUCAUGCCCCUUAUGACCUGGGCUACACACGUGCUACAAUGGACAGAACAAAGGGCUGCAAGACCGCAAGGUUUAGCCAAUCCCAUAAAUCUGUUCUCAGUUCGGAUCGCAGUCUGCAACUCGACUGCGUGAAGCUGGAAUCGCUAGUAAUCGCGGAUCAGCAUGCCGCGGUGAAUACGUUCCCGGGCCUUGUACACACCGCCCGUCACACCACGAGAGUUUGCAACACCCGAAGUCGGUGAGGUAACCUUUAUGGAGCCAGCCGCCGAAGGUGGCAGG